Theobroma cacao (cacao) is the source of this 1145-nucleotide RNA transcript. RefSeq lists it as uncharacterized. The record is from RefSeq and is a predicted model, not a curated record. NCBI's taxonomy places the organism in Eukaryota, Viridiplantae, Streptophyta, Magnoliopsida, Malvales, Malvaceae.
UUGGGGGAAAUAAAGGGGUCGACAAUUUUAAUUGAACGCGCCGACAGAUUUAUUGAAGAACAUUUCGUCAGUAAUAUGGUCGCUGAAGCAGGAGUUUGAAAUGACAUACAUUGGUGCGAUGACAUUCUUGUUGGGGAUGGAGUUCAUCCAAAAACCAGAGUAUAUUUGCAUUCAUCAAACUAAAUACGCAAGGGAGUUGCUGAAACGUUACAAGAUGGAAAGUUGUAAAGCAGUAGAUACUCCAUUAAUUUCUAGUAUUAAACUCUACUAGAAUUAUGGAAGUGGAGGUGCAAAUGGCUUUCUCUAUAGAAGUCGUGUGGCUUGUUUAUCGUACGUAAUUGCUUCUCGCCAUGAUAUUAUGUAUGCUGCUAGCAUUUUAUCUAGAUUUAUGAAGGAUCCUUCUGAACUUCAUCUUGUUGCAGCCAAAAGAGUGUUGGGAUAUGUCAAACGUACAUUCAACUAUGGUCUCAAAUUCUACAAAGAACAGAGCACUGAUUUGGGUGUCAAAUUCCACAAGGCACUACAGGUUUUUGUUUCUCCUUUGGGACUGCGGUCUUUACUUGGAACUACAAUAAGCCAGAUAUUGCAGCUCAAUCAACUGCUAAAGCCGAAUACAUAGCUGCUACUGCUGCUACAAACCAUGUCUUGUGGUUGAGAAAAAUCCUUGAUAACAUUGGGUUUAAACAAGGAAAGGAAACUAUUCUCUGGGUGGACAAACAAUCUGAUAUUGACAUAGCAAACAAUCCAGUGCAUCACGGGAAGACCAAACACACUAGGGUCAGAUAUCAUGCCAUUUGAGAUGCUAUUAAAGAGAAAGAAAUUUCAAUGCUCCACUGCUCUUCAAAUGAACAGCUAGCAGAUAUUCUGACAAAAGGGCUAAGCAAGGAAAGGUUUGCACAUCUCAGGACUAAGCUUGGAAUCGGAGAGAUACAUUCCAAAGAGGUGUGUUGAAUUUGAAAUGUAUCUCCAUUUAACCCUUCAAUGGCAAUGAUUUACUUUAAGAAUUAAGUUUUAUUUUAUUUCUUGGUAUUUGCCUUUAUCUUAUUUUCUGUUAUAGCACUUUCUGUACUCUACACAUGUAUGCUAUGUGACCGCUACCAUGUACAAGGUUCUGACAAGUAAUGGUACACAUCAUGGUUCAGCUA